Molecule: ribosomal RNA, 473 nt
Filed under: uncultured organism
Description: partial 16S ribosomal RNA
Rfam family: Bacterial small subunit ribosomal RNA
Source: RNAcentral
UACACUCCUGCGGGAGGCAGCAGUGGGGAAUAUUGCACAAUGGGCGCAAGCCUGAUGCAGCCAUGCCGCGUGUAUGAAGAAGGCCUUCGGGUUGUAAAGUACUUUCAGCGGGGAGGAAGGCGAUAAGGUUAAUAACCUUGUCGAUUGACGUUACCCGCAGAAGAAGCACCGGCUAACUCCGUGCCAGCAGCCGCGGUAAUACGGAGGGUGCAAGCGUUAAUCGGAAUUACUGGGCGUAAAGCGCACGCAGGCGGUCUGUCAAGUCGGAUGUGAAAUCCCCGGGCUCAACCUGGGAACUGCAUUCGAAACUGGCAGGCUAGAGUCUUGUAGAGGGGGGUAGAAUUCCAGGUGUAGCGGUGAAAUGCGUAGAGAUCUGGAGGAAUACCGGUGGCGAAGGCGGCCCCCUGGACAAAGACUGACGCUCAGGUGCGAAAGCGUGGGGAGCAAACAGGAUUAGAAACCCCUGUAGUCCC